GGUGUGUAGCUCAGUGGUAGAGCACUUACCUACCAUGAACAAGGCCUUGGGUUCAAUUUCCAGCACCA
This 68-nucleotide transfer RNA is filed under the name Marmota monax (woodchuck). RNAcentral describes it as "tRNA.Gly". Lineage: Eukaryota; Metazoa; Chordata; Mammalia; Rodentia; Sciuridae. The record is from RNAcentral.